This 253-nucleotide ribosomal RNA is filed under the name uncultured bacterium. RNAcentral's name for it is "partial 16S ribosomal RNA". It matches the Rfam family "Bacterial small subunit ribosomal RNA", at positions 524 to 776 of the family's 1533-position model. The record is from RNAcentral.
UACGUAGGGGGCUAGCGUUGUCCGGAUUUAUUGGGCGUAAAGAGCGUGUAGGCGGCCAGGUAGGUCUGCUGUGAAAACUCGAGGCUCAACCUCGAGACGUCGGCGGAAACCAUCUGGCUAGAGUCCGGAAGAGGAGAGUGGAAUUCCUGGUGUAGCGGUGAAAUGCGCAGAUAUCAGGAGGAACACCGGUGGCGAAGGCGGGUCUCUGGGCAGUAACUGACACUGAGGAGCGAAAGCGUGGGGAGCGAACAGG